This 253-nucleotide ribosomal RNA is filed under the name uncultured prokaryote. RNAcentral's name for it is "partial 16S ribosomal RNA". It matches the Rfam family "Bacterial small subunit ribosomal RNA", at positions 524 to 776 of the family's 1533-position model. The record is from RNAcentral.
UACGUAGGGGGCGAGCGUUGUCCGGAGUUACUGGGCGUAAAGCGCACGCAGGCGGUCGGCCAAGUGCGGGGUGACAGGUCACGGCUCAACCGUGGCAGUGCCUCGCGGACUGGUGGACUUGAGGGCCAAAGAGGGACCGGGAACUCCAGGUGUAGUGGUGAAAUGCGUAGAUAUCUGGAAGAACACCGAUGGCGAAGGCACGGUCCUGGGUGGUUUCUGACGCUGAGGUGCGAAAGCCAGGGGAGCGAACGGG